CCUACGGGGGGCAGCAGUGGGGAAUAUUGGACAAUGGGCGCAAGCCUGAUCCAGCCAUGCCGCGUGAGUGAUGAAGGCCUUAGGGUUGUAAAGCUCUUUUGUCCGGGAAGAUAAUGACUGUACCGGAAGAAUAAGCCCCGGCUAACUUCGUGCCAGCAGCCGCGGUAAUACGAAGGGGGCUAGCGUUGCUCGGAAUCACUGGGCGUAAAGGGCGCGUAGGCGGACUUUUAAGUCGGAGGUGAAAGCCCAGGGCUCAACCCUGGAAUUGCCUUCGAUACUGGGAGUCUUGAGUUCGGAAGAGGUUGGUGGAACUGCGAGUGUAGAGGUGAAAUUCGUAGAUAUUCGCAAGAACACCGGUGGCGAAGGCGGCCAACUGGUCCGAAACUGACGCUGAGGCGCGAAAGCGUGGGGAGCAAACAGGAUUAGAUACCCCAGUAGUCG
RNAcentral lists this ribosomal RNA (441 nucleotides) under uncultured Hyphomicrobiales bacterium. Its description in RNAcentral is "bacterial SSU rRNA". It matches the Rfam family "Bacterial small subunit ribosomal RNA", at positions 338 to 796 of the family's 1533-position model. The record is from RNAcentral. Lineage: Bacteria; Pseudomonadati; Pseudomonadota; Alphaproteobacteria; Hyphomicrobiales.